This 1779-nucleotide ribosomal RNA is filed under the name Triticum aestivum (bread wheat). RNAcentral's name for it is "partial small subunit ribosomal RNA". The record is from RNAcentral. Lineage: Eukaryota; Viridiplantae; Streptophyta; Magnoliopsida; Poales; Poaceae.
AUGGCGUCCGCCCUGCAGCCGGCCUCCACGCCGCCCGAUGGUCUUGUCGAUGAGGCAGCAGAUGAAGAAGAAAUAAGUUAUGUGUCACUACAUUAUUUUGGCAAAUUUGAGACAGUGGAUGGAUUGCUUGUAUACAACGGAGGUCUGAUGAUUACUUUUCCGUUCAAUAGGAAAAGCCUAAAGUUUGAGCUUUUGUUGUCUUAUGCUGAGGACAUGUAUCAUGUAGAAAGAGGACAUUGUAGGGGGGAUUAUAGUUAUAAGAUGCACUGGCUUGUUCCAGGGAAAAAACUGAGUGAGGGUUUGCAAUUUUUUUUUGAUGAUUCAAGUGUGGAGAAGAUUGGGAAUGCAACACCUAUUGGGUCAUGUGCAGAGAUCUAUGUGGAGGAAGUGCAGUUGUGUGAAGAAGCAGUAAAGCAGUUGCAAAACAGAGUAGAUGAUGUGCCUGUGGUAGAUGAUGUGCCUGUGGUAGUUUCAGAAACAUAUUCCAAGCAUAAAGGUAGCAGAUUUGCAUUGGUAAAUGUGGAUGCUGUGGAGACAAACAUGGUCGAUGAGAUGUUUUUAUCAAAUGUAGCAGCUUCAGCAGAACACAGAGCAGAGCCAGAAGUUGUUGUAGGUGUGAAAAGGACAGCUGCUGAGGAAGAAAAUUUGAGGAUAAUAAGUGAGGCUAAUGACUUUCUUACUACAUUUGAGAGUCCAGUGAAGAUUAAGAAAAGUAGAGCAAGUAGAGUUGCAGUUAAAAGAAGAAAAGUACCUCUUGCAGCUCCAGUUUCAGCAACUACAUCUUCAGGUGCAGCUCAAGGUGCAUGUGCUCCUCCUCCAACUCCAGGUGCAGCCCAAGGUGCAUCUUAUUCAUGUCCAGGUGCAUCUUCUUCAGCUCCAGUAGGAAAUAAAGCAAAAUCUGCAAAGACCAAAGCAGUAGCAGGUACACCACAGAGAGGAACAAUGCCACAAUUUACUCAAGGACAGAACCCAGCAGCUACUUCUGAAUUUGAGUAUACAUCUACAGAUCAUGUUGAAAAUGGAACAAGUGCUAAUGAAGUAUUACAUGAAAAUGUAAAAGAAGGAGAAGAAGGUGAUGAUGAAAGUGACAUUGACUACCAGCCUUUGUCAGAGCACAGUUCUGCUAAAGAAUCAGAGGCAGAGAAAUUAAGGAAAAUAGCAAGGGAAAUUAGGAGGCAGAAGAGAGCAAAGAAAUUAGAGGAUGCUGUGGGGCCUGUCAUCAAAGAUAAUAAUGUGAUUGAAGGAUUGUCUGGUGAUGAGAAGCUGGAUGGCAUAGAAGAUGAUGUUGUGUCAUCAGAUGAUGACUGCUCUUUUGAUGAGGAAAGUGAUGGUGAGGGGGCCACACAGCUAGUGAGAAGGAAAAGUGAAUGGAGAAAAUAUGACAGCAAAUCAGAAAUUCCUACAUUUGAGAUAGGAAUGGUUUUUAGAGGAAGACAUCAGAUGAAGAAAGCUCUAAUAAAAUAUGGCAUUAAGAAACAUGUGCAAUUUGCUUUCACAAAGGAUGAAAAUCAUAAAGUAGGUGCAAAGUGUACUUGGCCUGACUGCAACUGGAUGAUCUAUGCUUCUAAAACUACUAGAAAUAAGUGGCUACAGGUGUCUACCUUUGUAGAUGAGCACCAUUGCAUUCCAAGAAGAGAUAACAAACUGGUCACAUCAACUGUUAUUGCUACAAAAUAUGGCAGGCUUAUAAGAGCAAAUCCAAAUUGGAAGUUAGAAGAUUUGAGGAAAACUGUACUUGAGGACUUAUUUGCUGAUGUGACAGUUGCACAGUUGCAGUGA